UACAGAGGGGGCAAGCGUUAUUCGGAAUUAUUGGGCGUAAAGAGCGCGUAGGCGGUCCGGUAAGUCAGCUGUGAAAGUCCAGGGCUCAACCCUGGAAGGCCGGUGGAAACUGUCGGGCUAGAGUCCGGAAGAGGCGAGUGGAAUUCCCGGUGUAGCGGUGAAAUGCGCAGAUAUCGGGAGGAACACCAAUGGCGAAGGCAGCUCGCUGGGACGGUACUGACGCUGAGACGCGAAAGCGUGGGGAGCAAACAGG
RNAcentral lists this ribosomal RNA (253 nucleotides) under uncultured bacterium. Its description in RNAcentral is "partial 16S ribosomal RNA". It matches the Rfam family "Bacterial small subunit ribosomal RNA", at positions 524 to 776 of the family's 1533-position model. The record is from RNAcentral.